Molecule: transfer RNA, 72 nt
Filed under: Bacteroidota bacterium
Lineage: Bacteria; Pseudomonadati; Bacteroidota
Description: Bacteroidetes bacterium tRNA-Gly
Rfam family: tRNA
About the family: Transfer RNA (tRNA) molecules are approximately 80 nucleotides in length. Their secondary structure includes four short double-helical elements and three loops (D, anti-codon, and T loops).
Source: RNAcentral
GCGUCCAUAGUACAAUGGCUAGUAUAAGAGAUUUCCAAUCUUUUGAUGUCGGUUCGAUCCCGACUGGACGCU